Molecule: long non-coding RNA, 107 nt
Organism: Echinops telfairi (small Madagascar hedgehog)
Lineage: Eukaryota; Metazoa; Chordata; Mammalia; Afrosoricida; Tenrecidae
Exons: 3
Source: RefSeq, a predicted model, not a curated record
GCCUCUGAAGCUACGGUCUUCGGUACAUUCUACUGAAAAAGAGUCUAGAGCACCAGUUCCCGGAUCACCUGCACUUUGAGGAGACCAUUUCUGCCCAGGCUACAGGG